GAUUGUGGCCACCUGCUGCAUUGUCGAGUAGCUACGUUCGGAAUAGAUAAGUGCUGAAAGCAUAUUAAGCACGAAACUAACUUCAAGAUUAGAUUUCCCUAUGAGGACACAGAAAGACUAUCUGUUUGAUAGGCGCAAGGUGGAAGUACAGCAAUGUAUGGAGCUAAAGCGUACUAAUAGUCCCAUCGCCUUUUUAUG
Molecule: ribosomal RNA, 198 nt
Filed under: Candidatus Saccharimonadota bacterium
Lineage: Bacteria; Candidatus Saccharimonadota
Description: partial 23S ribosomal RNA
Rfam family: Bacterial large subunit ribosomal RNA
Source: RNAcentral